AGUUUCUAAAAAAUACUAGAGUUAUAACCUUAUAAAGCUGUCAUACGCACCUAUAAAAGGAAUAAUACACUGACGAAAGUAACUCUAAUUAGAUAGAGCUUUUGACCUCACGACAGUUAAGACACAAACUAGGAUUAGAUACCCUACUAUGCUUAACCAUAAAUAGACCUUUAUCAUCACUUACUUUGUUUAAGUCCGCCUGAGUACUACAAGCGCUAGCUUAAAACCCAAAGGACUUGGCGGUGCCCCAGACCCCCCUAGAGGAGCCUGUUCUAUAACCGAUAAUCCACGUUAAACCUUACCACUUCUUGCUCUUACCGCCUAUAUACCGCCGUCGUCAGCUCACCCCAUGAGGGUAUAAAAGUAAGCACAAUGGAUUUCCUCCAAAACGUCAGGUCGAGGUGUAGCGAAUGAAGUGGAAAGAAAUGGGCUACAUUUUCUCUCAAGAAAACACGGACAGUAGAAUGAAAAAUCACUUAUAAGGUGGAUUUAGCAGUAAGAAAAACUUAGGAUAUUUUUCUGAAACCGGCUCUGAGGCGCGCACACACCGCCCGUCACUCUCCUCAACCUAAGCUACUCUAUUUUAUAAAUAAAUUUUUAUCACAAGAGGAGGCAAGUCGUAA
RNAcentral lists this ribosomal RNA (623 nucleotides) under Amblyraja radiata (thorny skate). Its description in RNAcentral is "partial 12S ribosomal RNA". It matches the Rfam family "Bacterial small subunit ribosomal RNA", at positions 640 to 1491 of the family's 1533-position model. Lineage: Eukaryota; Metazoa; Chordata; Chondrichthyes; Rajiformes; Rajidae. The record is from RNAcentral.